UAAGGAAUAUUGGUCAAUGGACGGAAGUCUGAACCAGCCAUGCCGCGUGGAGGAUGAAGGCGCUACGCGUUGUAAACUUCUUUUAUGUAGGAAGAAAGCUACCGAUUCUUCGGUAUUUGACGGUACUACAGGAAUAAGCACCGGCUAACUCCGUGCCAGCAGCCGCGGUAAUACGGAGGGUGCAAGCGUUAUCCGGAUUCACUGGGUUUAAAGGGAGCGCAGGCGGGCUGGUAAGUCAGUGGUGAAAUCCUGGGGCUUAACCCCAGAACUGCCGUUGAUACUACUGGUCUUGAAUGCUGUGGAGAGAAGCGGAAUAGGUCAUGUAGCGGUGAAAUGCUUAGAUAUGACCUAGAACACCGAUUGCGAAGGCAGCUUUUUACACAGUAAUUGACGCUGAGGC
Molecule: ribosomal RNA, 400 nt
Filed under: uncultured bacterium
Lineage: Bacteria
Description: bacterial SSU rRNA
Rfam family: Bacterial small subunit ribosomal RNA
Source: RNAcentral